UACGGGGGGGGCAAGCGUUGUUCGGAAUUACUGGGCGUAAAGGGCUCGUAGGCGGCCAACUAAGUCAGACGUGAAAUCCCUCGGCUUAACCGGGGAACUGCGUCUGAUACUGGAUGGCUUGAGUUUGGGAGAGGGAUGCGGAAUUCCAGGUGUAGCGGUGAAAUGCGUAGAUAUCAGGAGGAACACCGAUGGCGAAGGCAGGUCUCUGGGCCACUACUGACGCUGAGAAGCGAAAGCAUGGGGAGCGAACAGG
This 253-nucleotide ribosomal RNA is filed under the name uncultured bacterium. RNAcentral's name for it is "partial 16S ribosomal RNA". It matches the Rfam family "Bacterial small subunit ribosomal RNA", at positions 524 to 776 of the family's 1533-position model. The record is from RNAcentral.